AGUGAACGCUAGCGGUAGGCCUAACACAUGCAAGUCGAACGGCAGCACAGGAGAGCUUGCUCUCUGGGUGGCGAGUGGCGGACGGGUGAGGAAUACAUCGGAAUCUACUUUUUCGUGGGGGAUAACGUAGGGAAACUUACGCUAAUACCGCAUACGACCUACGGGUGAAAGCAGGGGACCUUCGGGCCUUGCGCGAUUGAAUGAGCCGGUGUCGGAUUAGCUAGUUGGCGGGGUAAAGGCCCACCCAGGCGACGAUCCGUAGCUGGUCUGAGAGGAUGAUCAGCCACACUUGAACUGAGACACGGUCCAGACUCCUACGGGAGGCAGCAGUGGGGAAUAUUGGACAAUGGGCGCAAGCCUGAUCCAGCCAUACCGCGUGGGUGAAGAAGGCCUUCGGGUUGUAAAGCCCUUUUGUUGGGAAAGAAAUCCAGCUGGCUAAUACCCGGUUGGGAUGACGGUACCCAAAGAAUAAGCACCGGCUAACUUCGUGCCAGCCGCCGCGGUAA
This 506-nucleotide ribosomal RNA is filed under the name uncultured bacterium. Its description in RNAcentral is "partial 16S ribosomal RNA". It matches the Rfam family "Bacterial small subunit ribosomal RNA", at positions 29 to 523 of the family's 1533-position model. The record is from RNAcentral.